CGUCAUCCCCACUUCACUGCGGCUAUAGGUCUAACGUCAUCCCCACUUCACUGCGGCUAUAGCAAUAGGUCUAACGUCAUCCCCACUUCACUGUGGCUAUAGCAAUAGGUCUAACGUCAUCCCCACUUCACUGCGGCUAUAGGUCUAACGUCAUCCCCACUUCACUGCGGCUAUAGCAAUAGGUCUAACGUCAUCCCCACUUCACUGCGGCUAUAGCAAUAGGUCUAACGUCAUCCCCACUUCACUGCGGCUAUAGCAAUAGGUCUAACGUCAUCCCCACUUCACUGCGGCUUUAGCAAUAGGUCUAACGUCAUCCCCACUUCACUGUGGCCUCCUCCGCCACACCCACACUCCAGAAUCCACCCGUGUCUGGAGCAACCGUGGAACUGGGAAACUGCGAUGGCAAUUAUGGACAAUAAAACGUACCAAGUGGUCGAGUUGUACCUGGCUAAUCUUUUCCGUAUGAAGACAAACCCCUCACACAGUGUGGGACAUUGUCUUCCUGACACUUUGCUCUUCCUCUUCAAACCUCCCCCUCAUCCUCAUGAUGUUGCCUACCUUCCCCCGCGUGGGUGAUCAAGCCCGCAUCCUCAUGGAGUGAUCUAGUCCGUCCGUCAAAUAGGGGUCCAGCCGCUCCCUUCAUUAAGUGGUCCAGCCUCCCUCUCUUGAGGUGGUCUAAGUCUCUCCCCCAUGAAGGUGUCUAGCCUCCCCCUUUCUAAUGUGUAAUAAAUACUGUGAACGUCUCCCAGGCUUUCUUCCCUGUCUGGCUCAGUUGGUGGAAUGCAGUCAGAGCCUCGGCCAUCUCUCUCCCACCCACAUUAACUCUCAUUAUCUAGGGCUAAAUAAACCCAGGAAGAGUUUGAGUGAUAAUGCAAAUCUGUAAACAGUGCAUUAAAUAAAUAGCAGUACAAUGUGUUGUCUUCC
This is a long non-coding RNA of Esox lucius (northern pike), 924 nucleotides long. The record is from Ensembl. Lineage: Eukaryota; Metazoa; Chordata; Actinopteri; Esociformes; Esocidae.